AACGAACGCUGGCGGCAUGCCUAACACAUGCAAGUCGAACGAUCCCUUCGGGGCUAGUGGCGCACGGGUGCGUAACGCGUGGGAACCUGCCCUUAGGUUCGGAAUAACUCAGAGAAAUUUGAGCUAAUACCGGAUAAUGUCUUCGGACCAAAGAUUUAUCGCCUUUGGAUGGGCCCGCGUUGGAUUAGCUAGUUGGUGGGGUAAAGGCCUACCAAGGCGACGAUCCAUAGCUGGUCUGAGAGGAUGAUCAGCCACACUGGGACUGAGACACGGCCCAGACCCUGCGGGAGGGAAGAGGGGGGAAAUAGGGAAAAAGGGCAAAAGGCUGAACCAACAAAUGCCGGGGGAGAAAAAAGGCAGUAGGGGUUGAAAAGCUUUUUUCCCGGGGAGAAAAAGAACAGACCGGGAAAAAAAAGCCCGGACAACCUCCGUG
Molecule: ribosomal RNA, 433 nt
Filed under: uncultured bacterium
Lineage: Bacteria
Description: partial 16S ribosomal RNA
Rfam family: Bacterial small subunit ribosomal RNA
Source: RNAcentral